This 253-nucleotide ribosomal RNA is filed under the name uncultured bacterium. RNAcentral's name for it is "partial 16S ribosomal RNA". It matches the Rfam family "Bacterial small subunit ribosomal RNA", at positions 524 to 776 of the family's 1533-position model. The record is from RNAcentral.
UACGGGGGGGGCAAGCGUUGUUCGGAAUUACUGGGCGUAAAGGGCCAGUAGGCGGCCAACUAAGUCGGAUGUGAAAUCCCCAGGCUCAACUUGGGAACUGCAUCCGAUACUGGAUGGCUUGAAUUCGGGAGAGGGAUGCAGAAUUCCCGGUGUAGCGGUGAAAUGCGCAGAUAUCGGGAGGAACACCUAUGGCGAAGGCAGCUUGCUGGGACGGUACUGACGCUGAGACGCGAAAGCGUGGGGAGCAAACAGG